RNAcentral lists this ribosomal RNA (493 nucleotides) under uncultured bacterium. RNAcentral describes it as "partial 16S ribosomal RNA". It matches the Rfam family "Bacterial small subunit ribosomal RNA", at positions 29 to 523 of the family's 1533-position model. The record is from RNAcentral.
AUUGAACGCUGGCGGCAUGCUUUACACAUGCAAGUCGAACGGUAACAGGUUAAGCCGACGAGUGGCGAACGGGUGAGUAAUGCAUCGGAACGUGCCCGACCGUGGGGGAUAACGCAGCGAAAGCUGCGCUAAUACCGCAUACGACCUGAGGAUGAAAGCGGGGGACCGUAAGGCCUCGGGCGAUCGGACCGGCCGAAGGCAGAUUAGGUAGGUGGUGGGGUAAAGGCUCACCAAGCCGACGAUCUGUAGCUGGUCUGAGAGGACGACCAGCCACACUGGGACUGAGACACGGCCCAGACUCCUACGGGAGGCAGCAGUGGGGAAUUUUGGACAAUGGGCGAAAGCCUGAUCCAGCUAUGCCGCGUGCAGGAAGAAGGCCUUCGGGUUGUAAACUGCUUUUGUACGGAGCGAAAAGGCUCUCUCUAAUACAGGGGGCUCAUGACGGUACCGUAAGAAUAAGCACCGGCUAACUACGUGCCAGCAGCCGCAGUAA